This 367-nucleotide small RNA is filed under the name Vigna angularis var. angularis. Its description in RNAcentral is "Non-protein coding transcript". The record is from RNAcentral. Lineage: Eukaryota; Viridiplantae; Streptophyta; Magnoliopsida; Fabales; Fabaceae.
UCAAAAUCAGUUCUUUCGUGUUGGUCGUAUCUAUGGUUGUGAGAAUGAUGCAGAAAGAUUUGGUUUCUUUUGUCAUGCAGCUCUUGAAUAUUUAUUUCAAGCUGGAUUUCAUCCAGAUAUCAUUCAUUGCCAUGAUUGGUCGAGUGCACCAGUUACAUGGUUAUGCAAAGAACAAUAUAGACAAUGCAGUCUAAGCAAAGCAGGAGUUGUGUUUACAGUUCAUAACAUUGAAUGUGGAGCUCAUUUAAUUGGAAAAGCAAUGGCAUACACAGACAAGGCUACAACUGUCUCCCCAACUUAUUCUAGAGAGGUUUAUGAAAACCCUAUAUUUCGUCCUCAUUUUGACAAGUUUCACGGUAUCUUAAAU